RNAcentral lists this ribosomal RNA (361 nucleotides) under uncultured Oscillospiraceae bacterium. RNAcentral's name for it is "bacterial SSU rRNA". It matches the Rfam family "Bacterial small subunit ribosomal RNA", at positions 8 to 339 of the family's 1533-position model. Lineage: Bacteria; Bacillati; Bacillota; Clostridia; Eubacteriales; Oscillospiraceae. The record is from RNAcentral.
AGAGUUUGAUCCGUGGCUCGAGACGACGCUGGCGGCGUGCCUAACACAUGCAAGUCGAACGGAGUAUUGCGCUGAAACGAGAGUAGCUUGCUACAGGAAUUUCUUGUAAUACUUAGUGGCGGACGGGUGAGUAACGCGUGAGGAACCUGCCUUACAGAGGGGGACAACAGUUGGAAACGACUGCUAAUACCGCAUAACAUAUUGAGAGGACAUCCUCUUAAUAUCAAAGGAGCAAUCCGCUGUAAGAUGGCCUCGCGUCUGAUUAGAUAGUUGGUGAGGUAACGGCCCACCAAGUCGACGAUCAGUAGCCGGACUGAGAGGUUGAACGGCCACAUUGGGACUGAGACACGGCCCAGACUCC